RNAcentral lists this ribosomal RNA (264 nucleotides) under uncultured archaeon. RNAcentral's name for it is "partial 16S ribosomal RNA". It matches the Rfam family "Archaeal small subunit ribosomal RNA", at positions 717 to 982 of the family's 1478-position model. The record is from RNAcentral.
ACACGACUACAUUAGAUACCCCGGUAGUCCUAGCCGUAAACGAUACUCGCUAGGUGUCGGCCACGGUGCGACCGUUGUCGGUGCCGUAGGGAAGCUGUGAAGCGAGCCACCUGGGAAGUACGGCCGCAAGGCUGAAACUUAAAGGAAUUGGCGGGGAGCACCACAACGGGUGGAGCUUGCGGUUUAAUUGGAUUCAACGCCGGAAAUCUUACCGGGACCGACAGCAACAUGAAGGCCAGGCUGAAGACUUUGCCGGAUUAGCUG